UCACUUCCAUCCCCAUAACAUAGUUAAUUUCAUCACAGACACUGUGAUAUAAAGAAUACCUACAGUGCUGCUUCAAGAACCAGGUGACAAAAUCUAGCACAGAGGUGGCCUUGCUUCUGCAGUUGAGCCAGCCCAGUUCUUGCUUAUUGGUGGGCAGCUUCAGGAGCACUGAGAGACAGUCCUUGUGACACCAGCACCGAUUCCCUUACCAAGAAUUUCUGCAAGAGUGGAGGGACAAGCUCCCUGCUGCAAGGGAUGUAAGAGUUCGACCUGCAGGAGGUUUGGGGACAAGAACAAAGACAAACCUUACGGAGCACUUAUGAACUACCCCGCAGAGAAUCCUACAAAUAUGGGAAGUAGAUGAGACGUUUUUAGGAGUCUGGGGGCCCAGUGAGGGCAGAAGGGGCUAAAUUUGUACCAUUAACAUCAUAGGAAUCCAAUCCAUAGCCCAAGCUGGUGAGAGGUUUUUUUUCCGCCGGCCUGGGCCACAGCCACAGCAACACCAGAUCCGAGCUGCGUCUGCUACCUACACCACAGCUCAUGGCAGUGCUGGCUCCUCAACCCACUGAGUGAGGCCAGGAGUCGAACCCUCAUUCUCAUGGUUCCUAGUCGGGUUUGUUAACCGCUGAGCCACUAUGGGAACUCCUGGUAAGAGUUUUAAAGACUGACUUUUGGCAAACAGGUUUUAGCUAACAGACAACUUUUCGAAAGCUUUGUGAUUUGGAGUAUACUCUCUGAUCGAAGGCAAAAAAGUUCAUUCUUCUUUGAGUUCAUAUUAAUGGCAGAGUUUUGUACUUGUCUUGAGAGAGAUUACAUGAGCAAUAUGAACACAUAUCUAUUCUAUUUGCCGUCACCCUUUCACUUUCCUUCCCUCAGUAGCGGAGAAUAAAGACAUCAACCAACACUCAAAAAAGACUAAUAUUUUCUGAACGCUGUUGCAAGAGAAUACUGUGCUAAGCACUAUGUGGGGAUUUUUGAAAAUAAAACGCAAGUACUACUAAGUGACCUGCACUUGGUCAAACCACGAGAUUAACUAAUGCUGCUCCACUUCGUCUAUAAAACACAUAGACUGAUGCUGGGACCUUUUAAUGCUUACUCAUGGGCUAUACCAUAGCCCAGCUCUGUACAUUUAUCCUUCCUGCUGCUGAGUUCUCAUCACCAAGAGCCAUUCAUUCCCUUCAUUAGGAGUGUCUGAAUGCCUUCAAUGGGAUAAGCACCAUUCUAAGAGCCAGGGGCACAGCAGUGAAUAAAGCAGACAGAAAUCCCGCCCUUAUGAGGCUUACAUAAAAAGCAAUUGUUCUCAUUUUCUAAACUCUUAAUACAAGUUAUUCUUGCUAGUGUACUUAGGUAAUUUUUGUUUGUUUGUUUGUUCUGAGGUAGACCAACAGCUUUAUUGAAAGGUCAGAGCAAAGGUCCCACCCCCACACCCUACCCCAGUCCUGGCAGCGUCGGCGUCAGGCUCUGAGCAUCCAGGCGUCCUGUAGGCCCUAAUUUAAUUUUUACAUACUUUAUUAAGUAUAAGUGUAAAAAAUAUUUCCCCAUUGAAAAUAAAGUUGAAAUUUUUAUAACAUUAAUAUUUAUCACUUUACAUGAAUACUGUACUGAAAGCCCAAUGAAGCUGAAAUUUUGAAAUGGUCAAAGUGGUAAAUUUUAUGUGAUGUAUAUUUUAUCACAAUUUAAAAAAAAAAUGAGUUGAAUGGGGAGCUCCCAUCGUGGCGCAGUGGUUAACAAAUCUGACUAGGAACCAUGAGGUUGCAGGUUCGAUCCCUGGCCUUGCUCCAUGGGUUAAGGAUCUGGCAUUGCCAUGAGCUGUGGUGUAGGUCGCAGACGCGGUUUGGAUCUCAAGUUGCUGUGGCUCUGGUGCAGGCCGGUGGCUAUAGCUCCAAUUCGGUCCCUAGCCUGGGAACUUCCAUAUGCUGAGGGAGCGGCCCUAGAAAAGGCAAAAAGAUCAAAAAAAAAGAGUUGAAUGCUACAGAAAGACAAAUUACUGCCAUAAAUUACCAGAAGCAAGAAAACUGGAUUAUACAAAUAUAGAAAGACUCCAAAGUCACAUUAUUUCACAAGAGUCCUCAGGUUCUAUGUUUCUUUUAAUAAAAAAGAAAACAGAAAAUUAUAGAUUUUGCAUAUGGGAAGGAUUUACAUUAAAAAAAAAAAAAAAAAAAAAGAUAACCUAGAACUCUAAUAUUCAUGGCCAGAAAGGCCUUGGCCCAGCAUCAAAGGAUUUGCUAAUGAAAGUGUAGUCCAAAGUCUUUAGUAAAAGCUAGAUGCUUGGAGUUCCUGUCGUGGCUCAGUGGUUAACGAAUCCGACUGGGAACCAUGAGUUGCAAGUGCGGCGGCGGUCGGGGGGCGUUUUCCCCUCCGCCUAAAAUCAGGAGUCCACCCCGCCGGGGCAGGAACGCUGCUGCGUGGCGGUCAACCUGAGCGCCC
RNAcentral lists this long non-coding RNA (2427 nucleotides) under Sus scrofa (pig). RNAcentral's name for it is "lncRNA (ENSSSCG00035068854.1)". Lineage: Eukaryota; Metazoa; Chordata; Mammalia; Artiodactyla; Suidae. The record is from RNAcentral.